This 468-nucleotide ribosomal RNA is filed under the name uncultured bacterium. RNAcentral describes it as "bacterial SSU rRNA". It matches the Rfam family "Bacterial small subunit ribosomal RNA", at positions 330 to 794 of the family's 1533-position model. The record is from RNAcentral.
GCCAGACUCCUACGGGAGGCAGCAGUGAGGAAUAUUGGUCAAUGGGCGGAAGCCUGAACCAGCCAAGUCGCGUGAGGGAAGAAGGCCCUGCGGGUCGCAGACCUCUUUGGACGGGGAGCAAGGCCGCCGACGUGUCGGCGGAAGGAGAGUACCCGUAGAGCAAGCAUCGGCUAACUCCGUGCCAGCAGCCGCGGUAAUACGUAGGGGGCGAGCGUUGUCCGGAAUGACUGGGCGUAAAGGGAAUGUAGGCGGCCUUUUAAGUUAUGUGUGAAAGCCCACGGCUCAACUGUGGAAUUGCACAUAAAACUGGGAGGCUGGAGUGCAGGAGAGGUAAGCGGAAUUUCCAGUGUAGCGGUGGAAUGCGUAGAUAUUGGGAAGAACACCGGAGGCGAAGGCGGCUUACUGGACUGUAACUGACGCUGAGGCUCGAAAGCGUGGGGAGCAAACAGGAUUAGAUACCCGCGUAAU